This 87-nucleotide transfer RNA is filed under the name Desulfoprunum benzoelyticum. Its description in RNAcentral is "tRNA-Leu". It matches the Rfam family "tRNA". From Rfam's summary of the family: Transfer RNA (tRNA) molecules are approximately 80 nucleotides in length. Their secondary structure includes four short double-helical elements and three loops (D, anti-codon, and T loops). Further hydrogen bonds mediate the characteristic L-shaped molecular structure. tRNAs have two regions of fundamental functional importance: the anti-codon, which is responsible for specific mRNA codon recognition, and the 3' end, to which the tRNAs corresponding amino acid is attached (by aminoacyl-tRNA synthetases). tRNAs cope with the degeneracy of the genetic code in two manners: having more than one tRNA (with a specific anti-codon) for a particular amino acid; and 'wobble' base-pairing, i.e. permitting non-standard base-pairing at the 3rd anti-codon position. Lineage: Bacteria; Pseudomonadati; Thermodesulfobacteriota; Desulfobulbia; Desulfobulbales; Desulfobulbaceae. RNAcentral also lists the same sequence under 2 other names. The record is from RNAcentral.
GCCUGGGUGGUGGAACUGGUAGACACCCGGGACUUAAAAUCCCGUUGCCGCAAGGCAGUGCGGGUUCGAUUCCCGCCCCAGGCACCA